RNAcentral lists this ribosomal RNA (577 nucleotides) under uncultured bacterium. Its description in RNAcentral is "bacterial SSU rRNA". It matches the Rfam family "Bacterial small subunit ribosomal RNA", at positions 102 to 673 of the family's 1533-position model. The record is from RNAcentral.
ACGGGUGAGUAAUGCAUAGGAAUCUGCCUUAUAGACUGGGACAACUUGGGGAAACUCGAGCUAAUACCGGAUACCCUCUACGGAGGAAAGGAUGGGCCUUGAAAGAGCCAUUCGUUAUAAGAUGAGCCUAUGUCGGAUUAGCUAGUUGGUGGGGUAAAGGCCUACCAAGGCGAUGAUCUGUAGCUGGUCUGAGAGGAUGAACAGCCACACUGGGACUGAGACACGGCCCAGACUCCUACGGGAGGCAGCAGUGGGGAAUAUUGGACAAUGGGGGCAACCCUGAUCCAGCGAUGCCGCGUGUGCGAAGAAGGCCUGCGGGUUGUAAAGCACUUUGGUUGGGGAAGAAGGCUGGCAGAUGAAUAGUUCGUCAGAUUGACGUUACCCAAAGAACAAGCACCGGCUAACUCUGUGCCAGCAGCCGCGGUAAUACAGAGGGUGCGAGCGUUAAUCGGAAUUACUGGGCGUAAAGGGUGCGUAGGCGGUAUUUUAAGUUAGAUGUGAAAUCCCUGGGCUUAACCUGGGAAUGGCAUUUAAGACUGGAAUGCUAGAGUAGAGUAGAGGGAAGUGGAAUUUCCGG